CAGCUUACACAUGCAGUCGAGGGGCAGCACGGGUAGCAAUAUCUGGUGGCGACCGGCGCAAGGGUGCGUAACGCGUGAGCAACAUGCCCGUAUCAGGGGAAUAAUCCAGGGAAACUUGGUCUAAUACCCCAUAGCAAUUGGAGGAGGCAUCUUUUUCAAUUUAAAGCUUUGGUGGAUACGGAUUGGCUCGCGUGACAUUAGCUAGAUGGUAAGGUAACGGCUUACCAUGGCUACGAUGUCUAGGGGUUCUGAGAGGAAGAUCCCCCACACUGGAACUGAGACACGGUCCAGACUCCUACGGGAGGCAGCAGUGAGGAAUAUUGGACAAUGGAUGGAAAUCUGAUCCAGCCAUGCCGCGUGCAGGAAGACGGCCCUAUGGGUUGUAAACUGCUUUUGUAUGGGAGCAAUAAGGUCUAUGCGUAGACUGAUGAGAGUACCAUACGAAUAAGCAUCGGCUAACUCCGUGCCAGCAGCCGCGGUAAUACGGGGGAUGCAAGCGUUAUCCGGAUUUAUUGGGUUUAAAGGGUGCGUAGGCGGUUUGAUAAGUCAGCGGUGAAAUAUUUCAGCUUAACUGAAAGGGUGCCGUUGAUACUGUCAGGCUUGAAUAUGGUUGCUGUGGGUGGAAUGUGUGGUGUAGCGGUGAAAUGCUUAGAUAUCACACAGAAUAUCGAUUGCGAAGGCAGCUCACAAAGCCAUUAUUGACGCUGAUGCACGAAAGUGUGGGGAUCAAACAGGAUUAGAUACCCUGGUAGUCCACACUGUAAACGAUGAUAACUCGCCGUCGGCGAUACACAGUCGGUAGCCAAGCGAAAGCGAUAAGUUAUCCACCUGGGGAGUACGACCGCAAGGUUGAAACUCAAAGGAAUUGACGGGGGCCCGCACAAGCGGAGGAACAUGUGGUUUAAUUCGAUGAUACGCGAGGAACCUUACCCGGGCUCGAACG
RNAcentral lists this ribosomal RNA (943 nucleotides) under uncultured bacterium. RNAcentral's name for it is "bacterial SSU rRNA". It matches the Rfam family "Bacterial small subunit ribosomal RNA", at positions 43 to 987 of the family's 1533-position model. The record is from RNAcentral.